Molecule: ribosomal RNA, 895 nt
Rfam family: 5.8S ribosomal RNA (bases 230-384)
AGGACAUUACCCACUUUAAAAACUGUCCACGUGAACUGUAAGCAAGUCUAGCGCUGUGACUGAGCUGGUGUUUUCAUUUUUGGACACUGGAACGGGAGUCAGCAGGACGAAGGUUGGUCUGUUGUAAUGCAAGUUAUAAUGGACUAGCUGAUGAACUUUUGUUUUUAAACCCUUACCUAAAUACUGAUUUAUACUGUGGGGACGAAAGUCCUUGCUUUUACUAGAUAACAACUUUCAGCAGUGGAUGUCUAGGCUCGCACAUCGAUGAAGAACGCUGCGAACUGCGAUACGUAAUGCGAAUUGCAGAAUUCAGUGAGUCAUCGAAAUUUUGAACGCAUAUUGCACUUUCGGGUUAUGCCUGGAAGUAUGUCUGUAUCAGUGUCCGUAAAUCAAACUUGCCUUUCUUUUUCUGUGUAGUCAGGGAUGGAAUGUGCAGAUGUGAAGUGUCUCGCAUGGUUGCGUUCGUUUUUUCGAUCGAGAAUCUGUCGAGUCCUUUUAAAUGGACACGGUCUUUUCUAUGGUUUCUAUGAAGUGUAAUGGUUGGAAGGCAGUGAUUUUCGGAUUGCUGGCGGCUUUUGGCGACUUCGGUAUGAACGUAUGGAGACUAGCUCAAUUCGUGGUAUGUUAGGCUUCGGCUCGACAAUGUUGCGUAAUUGUGUGUGGUCUUUGUUUGUGCCUUGAGGUGUACUAGAGGUUGUCGGUUUGAACCGUAAGUGAUUGUUUAGUAGAGCAUUUUCACGAUGUAUGGAGACGCUGCAUUUAGUUGCGUACAGAGAUUGAUUUGGGGAAAUUUUGUAUCAUUGUCAAUUGCAAGAUUGUGUAUGGUAUCUCAAUUGGACCUGAUAUCAGACAAGACUACCCGCUGAACUUAAGCAUAUCAAUAAGCCGAAGGAAA